CGAAUGCUGACAUAAGUAACGAUAAAGCGGGUGAAAAGCCCGCUCGCCGGAAGACCAAGGGUUCCUGUCCAACGUUAAUCGGGGCAGGGUGAGUCGACCCCUAAGGCGAGGCCGAAAGGCGUAGUCGAUGGGAAACAGGUUAAUAUUCCUGUACUUGGUGUUACUGCGAAGGGGGGACGGAGAAGGCUAUGUUGGCCGGGCGACGGUUGUCCCGGUUUAAGCGUGUAGGCUGGUUUUCCAGGCAAAUCCGGAAAAUCAAGGCUGAGGCGUGAUGACGAGGCACUACGGUGCUGAAGCAACAAAUGCCCUGCUUCCAGGAAAAGCCUCUAAGCAUCAGGUAACAUCAAAUCGUACCCCAAACCGACACAGGUGGUCAGGUAGAGAAUACCAAGGCGCUUGAGAGAACUCGGGUGAAGGAACUAGGCAAAAUGGUGCCGUAACUUCGGGAGAAGGCACGCUGAUAUGUAGGUGAAGUCCCUCGCGGAUGGAGCUGAAAUCAGUCGAAGAUACCAGCUGGCUGCAACUGUUUAUUAAAAACACAGCACUGUGCAAACACGAAAGUGGACGUAUACGGUGUGACGCCUGCCCGGUGCCGGAAGGUUAAUUGAUGGGGUUAGCGCAAGCGAAGCUCUUGAUCGAAGCCCCGGUAAACGGCGGCCGUAACUAUAACGGUCCUAAGGUAGCGAAAUUCCUUGUCGGGUAAGUUCCGACCUGCACGAAUGGCGUAAUGAUGGCCAGGCUGUCUCCACCCGAGACUCAGUGAAAUUGAACUCGCUGUGAAGAUGCAGUGUACCCGCGGCAAGACGGAAAGACCCCGUGAACCUUUACUAUAGCUUGACACUGAACAUUGAGCCUUGAUGUGUAGGAUAGGUGGGAGGCUUUGAAGUGUGGACGCCAGUCUGCAUGGAGCCGACCUUGAAAUACCACCCUUUAAUGUUUGAUGUUCUAACGUUGACCCGUAAUCCGGGUUGCGGACAGUGUCUGGUGGGUAGUUUGACUGGGGCGGUCUCCUCCUAAAGAGUAACGGAGGAGCACGAAGGUUGGCUAAUCCUGGUCGGACAUCAGGAGGUUAGUGCAAUGGCAUAAGCCAGCUUGACUGCGAGCGUGACGGCGCGAGCAGGUGCGAAAGCAGGUCAUAGUGAUCCGGUGGUUCUGAAUGGAAGGGCCAUCGCUCAACGGAUAAAAGGUACUCCGGGGAUAACAGGCUGAUACCGCCCAAGAGUUCAUAUCGACGGCGGUGUUUGGCACCUCGAUGUCGGCUCAUCACAUCCUGGGGCUGAAGUAGGUCCCAAGGGUAUGGCUGUUCGCCAUUUAAAGUGGUACGCGAGCUGGGUUUAGAACGUCGUGAGACAGUUCGGUCCCUAUCUGCCGUGGGCGCUGGAGAACUGAGGGGGGCUGCUCCUAGUACGAGAGGACCGGAGUGGACGCAUCACUGGUGUUCGGGUUGUCAUGCCAAUGGCACUGCCCGGUAGCUAAAUGCGGAAGAGAUAAGUGCUGAAAGCAUCUAAGCACGAAACUUGCCCCGAGAUGAGUUCUCCCUGACUCCUUGAGAGUCCUGAAGGAACGUUGAAGACGACGACGUUGAUAGGCCGGGUGUGUAAGCGCAGCGAUGCGUUGAGCUAACCGGUACUAAUGAACCGUGAGGCUUAACCUUACAACGCCGAAGGUGUUU
RNAcentral lists this ribosomal RNA (1672 nucleotides) under Escherichia coli. RNAcentral's name for it is "partial 23S ribosomal RNA". It matches the Rfam family "Bacterial large subunit ribosomal RNA", at positions 1291 to 2925 of the family's 2925-position model. The record is from RNAcentral. Lineage: Bacteria; Pseudomonadati; Pseudomonadota; Gammaproteobacteria; Enterobacterales; Enterobacteriaceae.